UUCUCCUCUAAAACUCAGUUCUCUUUCCACCUCUGGUACUACUCACUAGUUCAAUAUCACCAAUCAGCAGUGGACAUGGAAGGGAGAAUGUGGAGCUGGGUUGGGGAGCCUCACAAAAAGGGCCCACCAAAUUCUCCAGGAGACUUUCCUCCUCCUCCUCCUUCUCCUCCAGAAAAAUGGCAAGUCACCCGAGUCAGAGAUGUGCCUGGAGGGGAGCGUGGAGCAAGGGGAAUUAAAGCACCCCAAAACUUCAGUAAGACCCAGGUCCUGAUCUGAACAUUAGUGAUGCCUCCAAGCUUGCUCUACCUACUAAAAACUGAAUGUGACCACUGAACGGGUACCCAACUGCCCCUAGGCUGAGGAGCAAUAGGACCUAAUGACUCACUCUGCACUUGCCAAGAGGCUGUGGAAGAACACAACAUCAACAACAGGCAGAAGUGUGCAAAGCGACGAACUCCUUUCUAAAGGAAGGGUCUCACUAAGUUGCCCAGGCCAACCUCAAAUUUGUGAUCCACCUACCUCAGCCGCCCAAGUGGCUGGGAGACUACCAUGCCCAUCUAAGAACCUCCACCGAGAGGUUGGCGAUUCCCGCGUCUAGAUCCCUUCUACUAAGCGGUGCCUUCCCUACCAAAAGGAUAGUGCUUUGAAUCUUGAAUGUGGUUCUGACAGCUGCAGGACACAAAAAAAGUCAUGUGUGCUUUGUUAACUUACUGCUUCGUCAUCGAUGAAGGAGGCAUCUGGGGCAAUUUCCUGGGAGGGAACCAGAGCCGGGUCCUGUGCAGGAUAGUAGCCACCACUGUAAUAGUCCUGUGGCCGGAGGGGAAAAGAACACAUCAAGUGAAGACAUGGAGAUGAGACAAGGUUGGCCCAGAAACAGGCGCUGACAAGGUGGCCCCUCAGAUGAAGCAGCUAAAGACGCAGAUCCAAGGACCCACCCGCUAACCCACCAACAUUCCUGCACUUUCUGAUCUGAACUAUCCAGACAGAUGGGAGGUUUUUAGGGAAGGACAGCAAGAAAUAAAGACAUUCUCUCCUCCUUCAA
Molecule: long non-coding RNA, 1042 nt
Organism: Marmota monax (woodchuck)
Lineage: Eukaryota; Metazoa; Chordata; Mammalia; Rodentia; Sciuridae
Exons: 2
Source: RefSeq, a predicted model, not a curated record